Molecule: ribosomal RNA, 443 nt
Filed under: uncultured bacterium
Lineage: Bacteria
Description: partial 16S ribosomal RNA
Rfam family: Bacterial small subunit ribosomal RNA
Source: RNAcentral
CCUACGGGAGGCAGCAGUGGGGAAUAUUGGACAAUGGGGGGAACCCUGAUCCAGCGACGCCGCGUGAGUGAAGAAGUAUUUCGGUAUGUAAGGCUCUAUCAGCAGGGAAGAAAGAAAUGACGGUACCUGACUAAGAAGCCCCGGCUAACUACGUGCCAGCAGCCGCGGAAAUACGUAGGGGGAAAGCGUUAUCCGGAUUUACUGGGUGUAAAGGGAGCGUAGACGGCGAUGCAAGUCUGAAGUGAAAGGCGGGGGCCCAACCCCUGGACUGCUUUGGAAACUGUAUGGCUGGAGUGCAGGAGAGGUAAGUGGAAUUCCUAGUGUAGCGGUGAAAUGCGUAGAUAUUAGGAGGAACACCAGUGGCGAAGGCGGCUUACUGGACUGUAACUGACGUUGAGGCUCGAAAGCGUGGGGAGCAAACAGGAUUAGAUACCCUAGUAGUC